GCUCUGGGGACCUUGAGGAAGUCAAGAAAACCAUAAGACACACCAAAAUAGACAGCAGCUACCACAGCCCUGACCCCAGGCCCAGAUGCAUGUGGGCUCUCUUUCGAUUCCCCAGAGAGAGGAACAGUAGUGACGCCAAGCCCACUGACUCCCGAGGAGCUCAACUCCUUCUGCAAACGCUUUGAGGAGCAGCAACCAAAGGAAAUCUAUACUUCUUUGAAAAUCUCAUUCAAAGUCAGAAGAUAAUCAAGUUUUGACUCAACACACAAUGAAGAUUUUGUGCUUAGUUCUUGGACUGCUGCUGCUGACUAUGUACUCUGGAGCAACUGCUGGGAUUAGCUCAAUGAGAUCAAACAAAAACUGCUGCAAUGAUUUCAAAGUAAAACCUAUUAACAAGAAAAAUAUUGCCUCCAUCAAUAAAAUUCCGUUGUACUGUAAGCAAUAUGGAUUCAAAGUAAAAUAUCCAAACGGAAAAGGAAUUUGCUACCAUCAGGAUGACAAAUGGGCUCAGAGGAUAUACAAGCAAUUCAACCAUGCCAACUGAAGAUCCUUUUGAAGAAACAAUGGGAAAGAGCAAAAACAAAAGCAACAGCUAUCAAUAUUGUUGAGAUCUUUUGCAUUAUUGCAACAGCUGCAUUACAACUAUUAACAUAAUUAUUUUCCAUGCAAUGCUAAAUCCAAGUCAAAAAUUGAUCUAAAAUUGCUUGGUUUGACCAAUUUUCAAAUUUCCCUAAAUAAAUGAGAGAUUAAAAUUGAA
This is a long non-coding RNA of Gadus morhua (Atlantic cod), 757 nucleotides long. RefSeq lists it as uncharacterized. Lineage: Eukaryota; Metazoa; Chordata; Actinopteri; Gadiformes; Gadidae. The transcript has 4 exons. The record is from RefSeq and is a predicted model, not a curated record.